GUCGCUGGCCCAUACCAGGGUCGUGCACGCUCGUCGUUCUUCAUUUCUCCAUCUAUUUGUGCACCUCUUGUGUGGAUCCAUGUCCUGGGGACGAUUGGGGACGCUUCGCAAAUACCUUCUUUGCAGGCUUUCCUUGUGUUGGAUCCUCAUUUUCUUCACAUACCACUAGAAAACAAUAGAGAAGGGUUGGAAAUAUAAAUAUACAACUUUCAGCAACGGAUCUCUUGGCUCUCGCAUCGAUGAAGAACGCAGCGAAAUGCGAUAAGUAAUGUGAAUUGCAGAAUUCAGUGAAUCAUCGAAUCUUUGAACGCAUCUUGCGCUCCUUGGUAUUCUGAGGAGCAUGCCUGUUUGAGUGUCAUUAAUAUCUCAACCGCAUGCGAAAGCGUGUGGCUUGGACUUGGGGGAUGAUGCAGGCUCCGACUCGGUCGGUUGGUCUGCUCCCCUGAAAUACAUGGGCAAAGUAAAAAGGCCUCUUUGUUGGGUGUGAUAACAUUAUCUGCAUCCGAGAGGUCAUCUAGGUUUGCCGAAUUGAACUCUAUUUGACUUGCCCUCAAAUCAGGUAGGACCACCCGCUGAACUUAAGCAUAUCAAUAAGCGGAGGAAAAGAAACUAACCAGGAUUCCCUUAGUAACUGCGAGUGAACCGGGAAGAGCUCAAAUUUGUAAUCUGGCGGUCUUUCGAUCGUCCGAGUUGUAAUCUAGAG
This 703-nucleotide ribosomal RNA is filed under the name Inocybe shawarensis. RNAcentral describes it as "eukaryotic LSU rRNA". The stretch from base 205 to 358 matches the Rfam family "5.8S ribosomal RNA". Lineage: Eukaryota; Fungi; Basidiomycota; Agaricomycetes; Agaricales; Inocybaceae. The record is from RNAcentral.